GACAACACUGAUAUUUCUUGGUGCUGUGGUUGUUCUCUUUGCAUGGCUAACCCUCACAGGAUUCACCAGCUCCAGAAAUAGCAAUCUGUACUUUUUUCUUCAGGAACAGUUUCAAGAUUGAUUGAUAUAAUGAGAUCAAGGAGGCUCUUUGAGGGAUGAAGGAACAUAAGAGUUAAAAGCAAUGCUCACAAAUAAACUUCUCGGUGAUUACCUUCUCCCUCAGAGCACUCCUCAUUGUUUGGUUUCCUUCCUGUAGCACAUGCUGACCAUAUGUCUUUCUACCUACUUGGCUCCUUACAUUUGACAGAGAGGAAACACUAAUAUUGGAGUGGCUGUUUUGAAACUGUCUGGGACUUGCUGAAUUAAUUGCUCUUCUGGCUGGAGCAGGAGAAAAAUGAGUUGAGGUCUCUCCAGAGAGAUUCUGUGUGCAUUAGAAAUGCUGCUUGUGCUUUUGGAGAAAUCCCCUUAUUUGAAACAAACCGGCUAACAUAUGAAGGAAUUAAGGAUACAUAUAUUAGGAAAAAGAAAAACAUGUCACCUGUGGAGAGCAUAGAGGGUGAUAAGAAAAGAGGAGGAU
This 577-nucleotide long non-coding RNA is filed under the name Anser brachyrhynchus (Pink-footed goose). RNAcentral's name for it is "lncRNA (ENSABRG00000009081.1)". Lineage: Eukaryota; Metazoa; Chordata; Aves; Anseriformes; Anatidae. The record is from RNAcentral.